AGCCCUCUGUAUUCGUGCUGAGAUUUCGUCAGAGAUCAACCCGGCGUUGGAUGAUGGUACUUCCCAAAUAAGUGAAGCG
This 79-nucleotide microRNA precursor is filed under the name Trichobilharzia regenti. Its description in RNAcentral is "mir-3492 microRNA precursor family". It matches the Rfam family "mir-3492 microRNA precursor family". Lineage: Eukaryota; Metazoa; Platyhelminthes; Trematoda; Strigeidida; Schistosomatidae. The record is from Rfam by way of RNAcentral.